CGCCGCGUGAGGGAGGAAGGCCUGUGGGUUGUAAACCUCUUUUCUCAGGGAAGAAGUUCUGACGGUACCUGAGGAAUCAGCAUCGGCUAACUCCGUGCCAGCAGCCGCGGUAAGACGGAGGAUGCAAGCGUUAUCCGGAAUUAUUGGGCGUAAAGCGUCCGUAGGCGGUUCAGAAAGUCUGCUGUUAAAGCUCACAGCUCAACUGUGAAUCGGCAGUGGAAACUUCUGGACUAGAGAGUGGUAGGGGUAGAGGGAAUUCCUAGUGUAGCGGUGAAAUGCGUAGAUAUUAGGAAGAACACCAGUGGCGAAGGCGCUCUACUGGACCAUUACUGACGCUGAUGGACGAAAGCUAGGGGAGCGAAAGGGAUUAGAUACCCCUGUAGUCCUAGCUGUAAACGAU
RNAcentral lists this ribosomal RNA (400 nucleotides) under uncultured cyanobacterium. Its description in RNAcentral is "bacterial SSU rRNA". It matches the Rfam family "Bacterial small subunit ribosomal RNA", at positions 395 to 810 of the family's 1533-position model. The record is from RNAcentral. Lineage: Bacteria; Bacillati; Cyanobacteriota.